CGGCAGCACGAGAGAGCUUGCUCUCUUGGUGGCGAGUGGCGGACGGGUGAGUAAUAUAUCGGAACGUGCCCAGUAGCGGGGGAUAACUACUCGAAAGAGUGGCUAAUACCGCAUACGCCCUACGGGGGAAAGGGGGGGAUCGCAAGACCUCUCACUAUUGGAGCGGCCGAUAUCGGAUUAGCUAGUUGGUGGGGUAAAGGCUCACCAAGGCAACGAUCCGUAGCUGGUUUGAGAGGACGACCAGCCACACUGGGACUGAGACACGGCCCAGACUCCUACGGGAGGCAGCAGUGGGGAAUUUUGGACAAUGGGGGAAACCCUGAUCCAGCCAUCCCGCGUGUAUGAUGAAGGCCUUCGGGUUGUAAAGUACUUUUGGCAGAGAAGAAAAGGCAUCCCCUAAUACGGGAUGCUGCUGACGGUAUCUGCAGAAUAAGCACCGGCUAACUACGUGCCAGCAGCCGCGGUAAUACGUAGGGUGCAAGCGUUAAUCGGAAUUACUGGGCGUAAAGCGUG
This 513-nucleotide ribosomal RNA is filed under the name Alcaligenes faecalis. RNAcentral's name for it is "bacterial SSU rRNA". It matches the Rfam family "Bacterial small subunit ribosomal RNA", at positions 67 to 569 of the family's 1533-position model. The record is from RNAcentral. Lineage: Bacteria; Pseudomonadati; Pseudomonadota; Betaproteobacteria; Burkholderiales; Alcaligenaceae.